GCUCCGGAGGGGCUGUCCGGGGUGGUCGCUGGGGAGAGCCCUGGGCUGAAGGGUUGAAGGCUGAGCAGACUGAAGAAGCUGCUGGUGGUGGGUGGUAGACGCCCAGGGUGUGGGGACAGAAGCGGACGUCCUGUAUGAUCCAGUGACCCAGAGAUAGCGAGAGACACAGGAAAUGGAUGGACAAUGACCCUGCGCCUUCCUGCCUCCUGCCAAGGGUGGCUCUGAGCCUUCAGGUGGCUUCUUCGGAAAGAGAAAGUUCCCGGACCCUCGUGCAGCUGAGGCGUGAGGACAGCUUGAGCCCAGCUCCCCAAACGGGUGGGGGUGGGCAGCACCUCAGUGAGCGACACCCUCGCCGAGCAGAGCCCUAGGCUCCAUCUGGGCACCAGAUCUUUUGGGCCAGGCGGCGCACACCUUUAAUUCCCGCUUGGGAGGAACAAGCAGGCAGAUGCCUGUGAAUUCUAGACCAGCCUGGUCUAUAUAAUGAGUACUAAGCCACGCAGGGCUAGAAGUUGGAGCUGGGUGUCUGAGCAGGUGGCUACCUUUCGUGGAGACAGUCUCUGUCCAGGAGGACUUGGGAGGUGGAGAUAGACUGAUAGAGUUCAAGGUCAUCCUCAGCAACAAAGUGAGUUCAAGGCCAGCCUGGGCUACGUGAGAUACUGCUCAAAAACAAAUACUAGAAGCAGGUGGAGAACUCAAACUUUCACUGUCGGCCAGCUACACAACCCACACACUGUCCCGCCAUCCAUGGCUGGUGUUUGUGAUCCCCUAUCUCAGGCUGAAGCAGCCUCCUAAGGCAGAGGGAGGAAGGAGGAGGGAGGGAAAAGAAAAGGGGAGAGGAGGAGAAGGAAGAAGGAGGUGGGGGAAGAGGAGGGUCUGUGUGUGAGAGAGAGAGUGUGAGAAAGUGUGUGUGUCUGUGAGUAUGUGAGAGAGAGGGAAAGCGUGUGAGUUCAUACAUGUGUGUCUGUGUGAGUGUGUGCUCGGGCAUGUGUGUCUGUGUGUGAGGCAGAGAGAGGGGGAGACAGUGUGUGUGUGUGUGUGUGUGUGUGUGUGUGUGUGUGUGUGUGUCCUGAGAUGGGAAGUGCUCUAGCACGGGAGGUGAGGGCACAGUGUCUGGAACAGAGUGACGAGGAUCCGAAGGCCCUGGAGAAGCCACUGAAGGCACCUGAGCAGGAGGACUCCCAUGUGCCCUUCCAUGCUCAGGAGCUGCAUAGCCUGUUUGCGGACAGGCUCUCACACACUCACUGCGAAGCCCGGGCUGGCCUUGAACUCAAUAGGCAGCCAGGCUGUGAAUGGAUCCCCUGUCUCCACCACCCCUGCAUGGAAUGACAGGGCCCAGCACACCCAGGCCUGUGGCAGAGGACUGGAGGGUGUGCUUGCAUGUGUGUGUCUGUGUGUGAUCCUCUGUUCCUCAAGGAUGAGCUGAGCUCACUUUCCUCCCACGCGGCAGGAAGCCCAUCCCUGGAGCCCUCUUCCUGCCCCUGCCUUCCUCUUUCCAAGGGGCCCUUAGGUCUUAUCACUGAGUCCCAGCCACAGUAGCAGGAAGAACACCUGUUUCCGGGAGAAGAAGGGACACCCCAGCCCAAGGUGUCAGGCCCUGGCCUGCAGCAAGGGUGUUACUGAGCCCUAUAUUAGGUACCCACUGUUUGCACAAGGAGACACACACAUCGCCAAGGACCUGGGUUUGAUGUUUUCUUUUUUUUUGGGGGGGAGGGGCUUUUGAGACAGGGUUUCUCUGUGUAGCCCUGGCUGUCCCCGACUCACUCUGUAGACCAGGCUGGUUUUGAACUCACAGAGAUCCUCCUGCCUCUUCCUCCCUAGUGCUGGUGUUAGGCCCAGCAAAAGCCUAAAUAUAAGAAGGUAUGAAGAGAACUCAGGAAACUAAUCAUCCAUCAAUGCAAAAACGCAAGAGACUCUUCUUGACCAUUGCAGUGGGGUCACCUCUGCUGGUCAGCUAGGAGUGGCCCCAGGAGACAAAGACCUUGGGUUUUUAAAAGACACAAGGCGGGAAUCUCCUGGCGUUGCCUUCUUGGCGAUUUAGGGUUGGAUGAAGUGUUUAACUUUUAAAAUAAUUGGUUGGUUCUGGGCACCCUUAGGUCCAGUCAGUCCUGCCGUAAAUAUCUGAUCUCCAAGUCAGUUUGGAAUUUCUUGCCACAUGAGAUAUAGCCACAGUUAAAGAUGGGAGAGUAACUAAUUUAUCCCGUGUCUAUUCUGAGGAAUGGGGGUUACAGGCUUUGGAUCAAAGGUCAGGAACUAUGCAGGAGAACGAUUGGGGUCAUUUGGCCCAGUUUCUAAACAAAGCCCAUCUCACCAGCGCCAGCCAGUGAUUUUUUUCCAUUUAGUAGAGAUCUCUGCUUGUUCUCUUCCUUAUCUCUGCCCUCACAGAUGGCUAAUGUCAGGAACUUUUACAUUCCUCGGUUCUCUGGAGAAGCACUGAGAGGCUUUCAUUAACAUGGGCCUAAAACUUGCAAAUAUAAGUUAUAAGGCAAUUAAAAGAAACAUAGGUUCCAAAGUUAGUCUGAUUCUUUCACUGGGAUCACAGGCAAGCACCACUGCGCCCGGCUCUGGGUUUGAAUCUUUGUCUAGACUUGUCAGGGAUUGGUAGGGCUUGUUCCCCCAGCCGGGGUCUGGUGACAGGUAGAGACAUAGGGGUGUUUUAGAAGCAGGUUCUAGGUGCAGUGGUGUACACCUACCAUCCCAGCACCCAGGAGAAUGGGGCAGAAGGACUAGGAGUUCAAGGGCCAGCCUUAGGUACUUAACAAAUUUGAGGUCAGCCUAGAGGACAUGAAACCUUGUCUCUAAAUAAAAUUAAAUAACUGGGACCUUUGAUCCCAGCCCUUGGAGACAGAGGAGGGUGGGCCUGCACUAGUUUAAGGUAGAGGGAACUCCAGGCCAUCCAGGGCUACACAGUGAGACCCUGUCUCAAUAAGGGAGUGAAUGCGUACUGACCUGAUGUGUGGCUUAGAGGAGUCGUACACUCGCUGAGCCUCUGCCAUCCCAACCCAGAACAAAUACUAAAAACUAAGAACGAGCCCAGAAACCUGCCAUAGGGUGGCGCUUCUACCUCAGCCUCUUAAGUUGGGGAAACUGAGGCUAGGAAUAGGUGUGGGCCUGCCGACAGGACUUGAGCUGAGAGAGGUGUAGAAGGUGUUAGGGCUCAGCCUCCCUCUUGUAUGCAGAAGACCCAGAAUUUAGGAGUUCAGGGCUGGAGAGAUGGCUCAGUCGUUAGGAGCGCUCAAAGCUCUUAGAGAAAACCUGAGUUCAGUUCCCAGCACCCACACGGCAGCCUCCAAACACCGUGACUCCAGUCCCAGGGCAUCUGACGCCCUCUGCUGGCUGCUUCGGGUACUGCAUGCAUAUGUGGCACAGAAAGACAUGCAGGUAAACAUCAGCGCGAAUAAAGAGAAAACAUGAAACAAAAACAAAGUGGAAAGUGAUCAGUUAAUGAAGACACCUGAUGUCAACCUCUGACCUCGGCACAUACCUACACAU
Meriones unguiculatus (Mongolian gerbil) is the source of this 3489-nucleotide long non-coding RNA. RefSeq lists it as uncharacterized. The record is from RefSeq and is a predicted model, not a curated record. The transcript has 4 exons. Lineage: Eukaryota; Metazoa; Chordata; Mammalia; Rodentia; Muridae.